This is a non-coding RNA of Arachis ipaensis, 443 nucleotides long. Lineage: Eukaryota; Viridiplantae; Streptophyta; Magnoliopsida; Fabales; Fabaceae. The record is from RefSeq and is a predicted model, not a curated record.
UUUGCUCGUUCGUGUAGGCUUCGCCCCUGCUUUGCUCCUUCGUCCUUGCUUCAUUAAAUUUGUGGCAGACAUCUUUCCGCUUCUUCAGAUUUAUGCUGGUUCCUUCUUUGCCAUUCCCCUUGUCCGAUGGUUUUUUAUUAGGAAGAGGAAUGCUGAUAUUGAAAAGAGAAAUCAAAUUAGGAAGCAGUGUUCAAAAGUACUCGAAUUACCUGACCCUUCACUGAGACAGAAGUAGGAUCAGAGUGGGAAAAAAGCCUAUGAUUUUCUCUGUCAAUCAGCAGCAAGAGAGGAGAAAAAGAAAAGAAAAAACCUUUCCUUUCAUCACAAAGCAACAUUAUUGACUAAGAUUAGAUCUUUAUCACCAUAAAAACAAUGUCAAGACAGAAGCAAGGAGGUGAAGAAACCAUGAUGUCAAGCCUGAAUGAAACAAUUGAAAGAGAAGA